GAUGAAGAACGUAGCGAAAUGCGAUAAGUAAUGUGAAUUGCAGAAUUCAGUGAAUCAUCGAAUCUUUGAACGCACAUUGCGCCCGCUAGUAUUCUGGCGGGCAUGCCUGUCCGAGCGUCAUUUCAACCCUCAAGCCCCCGGGCUUGGUGUUGGGGAUCGGCGAGCCUCCGCGCCCGCCGUCCCCUAAAUCUAGUGGCGGUCUCGCUGUAGCUUCCUCUGCGUAGUAGCACACCUCCCACUGGGAAACAGCGCGGCCACGCCGUUAAACCCCCAACUUCUGAACGUUUGACCUCGGAUCAGGUAGGAAUACCCGCUGAACUUAAGCAUAUCAAUAAGCGGAGGA
Molecule: unclassified non-coding RNA, 343 nt
Filed under: soil metagenome
Description: partial contains 5.8S ribosomal RNA, internal transcribed spacer 2, and large subunit ribosomal RNA
Rfam family: 5.8S ribosomal RNA (bases 1-120)
Source: RNAcentral